RNAcentral lists this ribosomal RNA (497 nucleotides) under uncultured bacterium. RNAcentral describes it as "partial 16S ribosomal RNA". It matches the Rfam family "Bacterial small subunit ribosomal RNA", at positions 28 to 507 of the family's 1533-position model. The record is from RNAcentral.
GAUGGACGCUGGCGGCGUGCCUAAUACAUGCAAGUCGAGCGAACGGACGAGAAGCUUGCUUUUCUGAUGUUAGCGGCGGACGGGUGAGUAAAACGUGGAUAACCUACCUAUAAGACUGGGAUAACUUCGGGAAACCGGAGCUAAUACCGGAUAAUAUUUUGAACCGCAUGGUUCAAAAGUGAAAGACGGUCUUGCUGUCACUUAUAGAUGGAUCCGCGCUGCAUUAGCUAGUUGGUAAGGUAACGGCUUACCAAGGCAACGAUGCAUAGCCGACCUGAGAGGGUGAUCGGCCACACUGGAACUGAGACACGGUCCAGACUCCUACGGGAGGCAGCAGUAGGGAAUCUUCCGCAAUGGGCGAAAGCCUGACGGAGCAACGCCGCGUGAGUGAUGAAGGUCUUCGGAUCGUAAAACUCUGUUAUUAGGGAAGAACAUAUGUGUAAGUAACUGUGCACAUCUUGACGGUACCUAAUCAGAAAGCCACGGCUAACUACGUG